Molecule: ribosomal RNA, 482 nt
Filed under: uncultured bacterium
Lineage: Bacteria
Description: bacterial SSU rRNA
Rfam family: Bacterial small subunit ribosomal RNA
Source: RNAcentral
UUGAACGCUGGCGGCAUGCUUUACACAUGCAAGUCGAACGGCAGCGGGGGCUUCGGCCUGCCGGCGAGUGGCGAACGGGUGAGUAAUGCAUCGGAACGUACCCAGUCGUGGGGGAUAACUACGCGAAAGCGUAGCUAAUACCGCAUACGUCCUGAGGGAGAAAGCGGGGGAUCUUCGGACCUCGCGCGAUUGGAGCGGCCGAUGUCGGAUUAGCUAGUAGGUGAGGUAAAGGCUCACCUAGGCGACGAUCCGUAGCGGGUCUGAGAGGAUGAUCCGCCACACUGGGACUGAGACACGGCCCAGACUCCUACGGGAGGCAGCAGUGGGGAAUUUUGGACAAUGGGCGCAAGCCUGAUCCAGCCAUGCCGCGUGAGUGAAGAAGGCCUUCGGGUUGUAAACUGCUUUUGUACGGAGCGAAAAGGCUCUCUCUAAUACAGGGGGCUCAUGACGGUACCGUAAGAAUAAGCACCGGCUAACUACGU